GGGGAUUUAGCUCAGUGGUAGAGCUCUUGCCUAGUAAGCGCAAGGCCCUGGGUUCGGUCCCCAGCUCCG
This is a non-coding RNA of Rattus norvegicus (Norway rat), 69 nucleotides long. The record is from Rfam. NCBI's taxonomy places the organism in Eukaryota, Metazoa, Chordata, Mammalia, Rodentia, Muridae.